Molecule: ribosomal RNA, 468 nt
Filed under: uncultured bacterium
Lineage: Bacteria
Description: partial 16S ribosomal RNA
Rfam family: Bacterial small subunit ribosomal RNA
Source: RNAcentral
GACGAACGCUGGCGGCGUGCUUAACACAUGCAAGUCGAACGGAAAGGCCCUGCUUUUGUGGGGUGCUCGAGUGGCGAACGGGUGAGUAACACGUGAGUAACCUGCCCUUGACUUUGGUAUAACUUCAGGAAACUGGGGCUACUACCGUAUAGGAGCUCCUGCUGCAUGGUGGGGGUUGGAAAGUUUCGGCGGUUGGGGAUGGACUCGCGGCUUAUCAGCUUGUUGGUGGGGUAGUGGCUUACCAAGGCUUUGACGGGUAGCCGGCCUGAGAGGGUGACCGGCCACAUUGGGACUGAGAUACGGCCCAGACUCCUACGGGAGGCAGCAGUGGGGAAUAUUGCACAAUGGGCGGAAGCCGGAUGCAGCAACGCCGCGUGCGGGAUGACGGCCUUCGGGGUGUAAACCGCUUUCGCCUGUGACGAAGCGUGAGUGACGGUAAUGGGUAAAGAAGCACCGGCUAACUACGUG